GUGUUUUGUUUCUUCUAGACUAUCAGGAAACAGAUCUCUACUGAAAGCUUCCCCCCUCCACUCCCCACGAAAGUACCCAAAAGAGAUAAAAAUAAAUCCCCCCAAAAAGAAAUAAUCAUCCGUAUUUUCAAGGCAUUUUUUUAUAACAAUGAAUAUGUAUUGUUUAGCCGUCAGAUACAAAGCCCGCUUUGUCGGUAACUGAAAGCAGAAGACUAUCAGCCCGAUGGCAGCAAAGCAGCAUCUCGGAGCACAGUCUCCGAUUCCGUUUCUCAGGUUCCCAUUUCGGCUGGCACUCUGAGGACGCCAGCACCACUGCUGUGUCUUCCAAACAGUUAUUGGAAUGGUUCCGCUACGGAUGGACAGGCACAGACAUGUGGUAGCCGUCGCUCCACACGGAGGCACAUUCACAGCAACAAGAAUGCAGCGGACUGAGAUUAAUCACACCUCACGGCAUGCUACACCAGACCGCUGGCAAAACCAAAGGCAACAAGGGAUUGGCGACUGGCUCUGAGCACAUGAACACCUACCUCCUGCCACCUUCCGUAUUCUUCCAGCCUUGUUAUGUGUCCGAAAUGGACAGGCAGCAGCUCGGUGCCCUAGGUCUGAAGACCUGGGAAGGCCACAGGUGAAGUCCUCCAUUCUUCUUAAUUUGCCCUGAAAAAGAGAGGCACACAGCAGUUCAGGCCAAGAAACGGCCUGAAACAAGGGCAGGUUUUCAUUCUCUCUGCAAUUUCUCUUCUUCCAAGCAAUUUAUUCCCCCCUUUUUAUGGUGUUUCAUGAAGAAUCUGUAAAUUCCUGGGUGUUGCCCAUCCCCCUAAACCAGUUCAGUAAGAUCUAGAUCAGCAGUUGUCAACUUCUGGGUGGAGACCCCUUUGGUAACCUCUACCUCCAAAAAUAUUCAUAUUACUCUUCAUAAUAGUAGCAAAAUCACACUUAGGAAGUAGCAAUGAUUCCAAUUUUAUGGUUAGGGGUCAGUACAACUUAGGAAAUUCUAUUAAAUGGUCGCAGCAUUAGGAAGGUUCUAGAUGAAAUAGCACUUUUUCUUUGCCUCCCUUCCUUAACCUCUUAUUUGACCCCCUAUUUCUUUGAAGCUAUGUAAAUCCGACUGCUGUCUGUUACCCUAACUAAUUAAGUUUAUCUCUGGGCUGCACAGAAAGACCAGCUUACACUCGCCUUUUACUCUGUACUCCUGCCAUUCCUUUUGAAUGUGUGAUGAGGAAACAUGUCUGUUUUGAUGAAAUUGCUGGGCUGGGCUAAGUUGCUUGAACAGGCUAGAAGGCUAAUGUCAUUGGACAAUGUACAUGCUUUUGGGUUAUGUUUCCUUCAACAGCAUAGCUUUCAUUGAGCCAUACCAUGGUGUCCCAGUUAGGCAGACGAAGACUCCAAAGAAGUAAUGGCUUACAGAUUCUAGAGCAUUCAGCUUCUAGAAUAUAUCACUUGUGUGUAUGUGUGUGUGUAUGUGUGGGUGUGUGUAUGCAUACAUGUGUAGAGGUUAGAGGUCAAUCUUGGAUGCCCUCUCGUCACUCUCCCACCCCUUGAUCUUGGGAGACAAGGUCUCGCUUUCACCUGCAGCUUGCUCCCUGUGCUCAUCUUUUUAAAGUCGACUCUGGGGAUUGAACUCAGGUCUUCAUACUUGCUUGCCAAACACCAACUAAGCCACCUCCCUGACCUGACCUCUCACUUUUGAGCUGAGUCUUGAGCUGGUUUUGGACAGGUUCAUUUUUCCUGUAGCUUUCUUUUUUUUUUUCCGGAGCUGGGGACCGAACCCAGGGCCUUGUGUUUGCUAGGCAAGCGCUCUACCACUGAGCUAAAUCCCCAACCCCUAUAUUUAAUCCUCCUGUAGCUUUCUAUAUGAACCUACAGACUAUUUUUGAGCAUUCAUUCAUUCAUUCAUUCAUUGGCAUUUUCAGAGCUCAUCUUAGCUUAAUGCCUGAGAUCUCACAGGAACGAGGGCAGACUUCCAGUUAGAAACCUUCACAGGAUGAACAGGUAGAAGUCUGCCAUUCCGCCCUUCAAUUACACUAAACUAUUUUGAAUACUGUUGAGUUUGGAAGCCUGAAAUAAAAUUUACUUUAAAAGUCAAAUCGAAAUGUAUUUACGAUGAAUUUUACACUCACAGCUUGAUGAAGUUACUCUUGUGGUCACGUCAAUGAGUUUAGCGAGUAUGGUGUUCAACUUAUAUAAUCAGAAAUUCCCAGGAAGUUGUUGGACACUGGGUCUCAGGCAAACACAGCUGUCGUUUGGGGGAAACACGAUGAUCGGGGAGAGGAGCUGGAGGAGGGAGAGCCAGCCAAAACUAGCGCUGUGGGAAAAGCCUCAAGGAAAUCUGAUAUCUGGUAAACAAAUUGAAAGAUAAACUUUUCAAAAUUAAAAAAAUAAUAAGAUAAUACCAUAAGUUGAGAACUCAGCUCCCUAUGAGAUGUACCCAGCUCAUGAAUAUGCAUGUCUACCUUUAUUGCAACACGAAAAACAGCAAAGGACAAACGCUGGGGUAUUUCCUUCCUCUUGGUUCAGGUUCCUAGGUCCAAGGUCCCAUGCAAUUACAGACACUUUGAAGAAGGAAAGUUCGCUUUACUUCCUGAGUUUGAGAUGAAGUCAGGAUAACCUCUGGGAAGUGAUGUCUGAAGUCCACCCUGCAGAGGCGAAUUCCGUAGCCAUCUAUGCAGAGACUAAGAGUGGACACUGAGGGGAGCGGGUAUGUGGCUAGGAGGAGCCCCAGGGCAAGUGAGGAGCCAGUAGAAAGAAAGAAAUCCAUCAGAGGAGACUAGGAAAGAUUUAAGAAAUACUGGUAUAAAAUAAGGGACCCUGUAUCACUGAGAAAAACGAGAGGUCCUAAAUCCUGCUGAGAAGCCAGGCGAGCUACACCACAGCUGGAGUUGGAUACGGGAACGAACUGUGGUCUCAGAGACUUGGAUCUAUUGAGUGUCUCAAACAACGUGCUGGGAGGUGGGGAAGGAGGAUUCAAGUGCAGCCCCCAGAGCCAUUCUGAUGCUGAGGUAAAAGGAAGGAGACAAGUAUCAGGGACCAGAGUCUCUGGUGAGCAUAAGAUUUCAUGGUAGGUAUGUGGAUCUUCGAUUGCAAAAUCUGAAACCUCAGAGCACCAGUACGGAAGAUCCAGCAAAUGUUUUAGACUCUGAAAAAGCUCUGAAAUCUGAGCCGUGUACGAGAGGUGAUCCACCUGUGUUGGAAUCAAGGGACAGCGCUUGGUACGGUGCACCAGUCUAGAGGGAGAAACUGAGUCAAUCCCUCAAAGGAAGUGAGGGAGGGACCUGAGAGAAAGGCAGACAGUCACACUUGGAAGCGGGAGGGUUGAGGCCAAAUACAGGAAACUCAAACAAGGGGAACUUCUUCUUCAGUUUCCUCAGAGAAACCAACGUAGUGUUGUAGAGUGACAACCCUACAGCCAUCAGCAACCUUUAAGACUGAUAUACUAAAGGAAAUUGGACAGGAGCCUCAUUGUCAGAAUAAAGUUGUCAAUGUCAGAAUAGAUUAUCGUAGACGAUUGUGACAUCUCAGUGUUCUCUGAAUCCCAGGAACAGCAGACGGUGUGAUGUGGGCACGAAUUGUGAUCUGUCCCGCACAGGGUCAGAGAACCCAGGACUCCACUAACUGGUCUCCAUCACGUGGCUUCCCAGAAGCCACCAGAUAAAUCGCCCGGCUGCAAACGGAGUGCAGUAAGAUUGUUGCGUCUGGAUUAUGCCCUGAUAGUCUAACACCAUGGAAAGCAUACCUUGCCUGGCGUCAGUAUAUGCCACUCUUCCUUGAAACGCAACUGUCUGCUCCUUGGGCCAGUUUCCUGACAGGCCCCUUGUCCUUCUCUUCUAGUCGCCCCUCCUCUGUGCUCAGACAGCAGCCUCCAGCAAAGUUUUCAACUGUUAUGGCUCCUCUGUUGUCCUUCCUCCUGUGCACUCUGCUAAUGUCCUGUUCUCUUAGCUGUGAGCCCUGCUGAGCUAGGGACAUGGUUCUCUGGUGAUUCCUCAAGCCUGGCACAGGGGAGCUCUAAAUGUGUCGGGGAUGGUAAAAGAGACUCUCCUAUUCACCCCUGAGCGGCUCGGGAAGACUCUUCACCUGAAGGCAGAAGAUGGCGUCAGUGGUAGAAUGUUUGCCCAGCUCCAUGCAGCACCCUGAGAUGGAGACUAAGCAUUGAGAAAAGCCAGGGGAAAGAAACCUACAGUAAAAGACAAAGAUGGGGGCCAGGGCGAUGACUAGGAUGGGAUUUGAUCCCCAGAAAUCCAUGUGACGUAGUCAAUGGGGCGGCACAUGCUGGUAACCCCGGUGCUCCUACUGUGAGACAGGAAACGGAGACAGGAGAUUCUGCCUGAAGCUUUCCAUCCGGCUAGCCUCGAGUACAACAGAGAUGCUAUCUCAGAAACGAAGUGGAAGGACAGAGUUGACCAAGAAAGUGCUCCUCUCACUUUCCUGCGAACAACUUGUUUGGUUUUUUUUUUUUGUUUGUUUUGUUUUGUUUGGUUUGGGUUUUUUCAGUUUUUGUUUUGUUUUCGGUCUUGUUUGUUUGAUUCUUUGGCAGCUAUGACACAAAGCAGAGACAUCUGGGAAGAAAGACCGUCAGUUUUAAAAACUGCCUCCACCAGAUGAGCCUGUAAGCAAGUCUGGGGGGAUGGGUUUUUUCCACUAAUGACAGUGUAGAAAGGCCUGGCCCACUGUAGGUGGCUCAUCCACUGGGCAAGGCGGUCAUGAGUUUUGAUAAAUCUCAAGGUGGGCAAGCGUUGGCAAGCAAGCCAGUGAGCCAACUUUCUUCUCUGUGGCUUUGACCUCAGUUCUCGCCUCCUGGUUCCUGCUUGAGUUUCUGCACCGGUGUUCAUGGUUUACUGCCAUGUGUGAGAGGAGCUGGACCCUCUCCUGUGAACCCUUUCUUCCCCAAGUUGUUUUACCUCAUGCUGUUCACCUCAGUAGUAGGAAGCAAGCUAGGACAUCAUGGUACACAUGCACUAUACAUACGUGCCUGCGUGUAUGUGCAUGGACACACAGAUGAGAGUAUAUAUGCGCAUGUACACACACACACACACACACACACCACAGGUUUUGUUUUUUAAGAUAAAGAACUGAGGAUCCCUGAUGUUAUCUAACCCAGUCCCUUUAUUCUAUAGCCACAAAAGUUGAAGCCUGGAGAAGCCAACUUGAUAUGGGUUAGUUGUUUUCUACUUGCCACAGCAGGUAGGUGAUGGUGUGUUGGUUUUCAUCCUAAGGAGGUGCUGCCUUAUUUAGAAUUUUACAUAGUGCAUUGAGGUCUAAACCAGAGUGGACCGGACCACCGAGAAUUGGAGGCAAAAGAGCCAGAGCCAGAAGCCAGAAGUACCCUGAGCAAAACAACUUGGGAGAAAAAUUAUUUUGGCUUGCAGUUCCAGAAGGGAGAGAGAGUCUGUCAUUUUGAGAAAACUAUGAGACCAGGCCAAGGAAGGCACGGCAGCAGGAGCAGACUGGCUGAUCAACCCGAAUCUCACUCAGAAACAGAGAGAAACAGCAAGAGGGGCUGAGCUAUAAAACCUCAAAGCCUGCCUCCAUAAGUGUAAUUCCAGUGACCUCUACCUCCUAAAGAUUGUAUAAUGUCCCCAAAUGGGAGCACCAUCUGGGGACCACGUGUGCGUAUUCAAACCACAACAGUGUCCACGGAAAGAAAAUGACUUGCUUAGAAGAAACGCCAGAUGACAGGCAGUGUGUGGACAACUGCCUGAUCUGCUAAGGAGGCGAUGAAAGUCAGGAUAUCAGAGUUCCCACAAGCUAAGGGACCCUCUCCUGUAUUUGACAGAUGUAGACAGACACACGGAGGAUUGGAGAAGUGACUCAGCAGUUAAGAGCACUUCUGGAGGACUCAGAUUCAGUUCCCAGCCCCCAAAUUGGUCUGCCCGCAACUUUCUAGAGUCCAAUUCCACAAGACCCAAUACUGUCUUUGGCCUCUGUUAGCAUCUGUACAUAACUUGUGAGCAUGUGCACAGAGACACACAUGCUCAUGAAUAAAAAUAUGACGAGAGCACAGGGAGAUCACCCGUAAGUUUUCUGUUCUCUACGUUGUCCUUCCAAAGUGUCUCCAGUCUGCUGACUUACUGUAUACAAUUGUAUACCCCUCACUGAGGAGAUGCAUUCUGAGAAAGGUGCUGGAAGGGGACCUCUCUUGUGCCAACAUCACAGAAUAUACAGACGCAAAUCUAGACGGUAUCGUUUAUUAUACACCGAUUCUACACGGCAUGUCCUAUUGCUUCUGGAAUAUAAACAUAUGUAGUGUGACUAUGGAUCCUUUAAGCAGCUAUAACACAAUGGUGAAUAUUUGUGCACGUGAACAGAUCUAGACAUUAAAAAUAGAGUAACAGUACUGGGCAACUGGAUCGUCAGUUCUCUUAUAACCAUACAGGACCACUGUCAUAUCCGUCAGUGUCGGACAUCACUGAGACAAGAAUACUUACAUUCAGGACUGAAAUGCAGAAUUCUCUACAAGCAAGCGUUGCGGUUAGAAUGGUCAAGUUUUAUUCCAGUAGCCCUGAUUUCAGUUUCCUCUAAAAAAUAAACAGACUGUGCUGUUUGUUUUUAGACAUUAUUUUUUUUUUUUUUACAAACGUUUAAGAAACAAACGUCUCUUGGGAUGCGAACAAUCUGUACCCAUUUAUUUGAAAAGGGCUAAAAUAAAUAUUUAAUGUUGCAUCUCUAAGUAUUUGGUUAGCUGUGUUAUUGUACUUGCUGUUUAUUUUAGCUGGACCAUGUCCUUCGGCUUGCAGGACUCUUGCAGAUUCUAACAACAGCAUUGCUUCUGUAUAUUCUGGGUCGCCUGAAGGCGAAAACUUAUGCUGUGGAGUCUUUCUUUUCCUCAGUGAGCCUGGGUUGCUAUACAAAGAAUACUUUAAGCCGGGCAGUUUAAACAAAAUGCGUUUACUGCUAACAGGUCUGGAGACUGAGAAGAUCCGGAUCAAGGCACAGACCUGAAGUGUGUGUGUGUGUGUGUGUGUGUGUGUGUGUGUGUGUGUGUGUGUGUGUGUUUUCAUACAUGUAGCUACACAUAUAUGUCCAAGUGUUCAUGCACACUUCACGGAGGGCAGAGGAUCACCUUGGUUUCCAUUCUUCAGAUGACAUCCCCUUUCUCUGAGCAGACUCUCUCACUGCCCUGAGAUUCACUAAAUACAGUAAACUGACUGGCCAACAAGCCCCAGGGUCCUGCCUGCCUCAGCCUCCCCAGUAGUGGGAUUAGAGACGUGCGUCCCCAAUGCCUGACUUUUUUGAGUUCUGGUGACUGAGCUCAGUUCCUUGUGCUUGCAAGGGAAUGCUUUACCAACCAGAUCCCCUGUUUAUUAUGAACUAAACACUUUUUGAAGUUUUCAUACACGAGUUCGCUAUUUGCAGUAUUUCUACCCUCUCUCUCCCAUCGGAUAUCCCUGUGUAAGUUUCUGCUCACGAACACUAUAAACCAGUCCCCAAGACCUCCGUUCUCAGGACGUGACCCUUUCUGAAAUAUUCCAUUUGGAGGGACCAUUACAGAGGAGAUUUAGACUUAAGCAUGUGUGUUUUGAAAGGAUGCUUUUAGUCUACGGCAUUUAUUUACCCAAAGAACCCUCUUCUUAAUCUAUCCGUGAGAACAUACAGUUCAGGUUUUAAAACACACACACACACACACACACACACACACACACACACACACACACACACACACACUGGUUUUUCUGACGGUCUCAACAUAGCACCCUCUACAUAGCCCUGGCUGUCCUGGAACUCAUUAUGUAGACCAGACUGGCCUCAGUAUCAAAGAUCUGCCUGCCUCUGCCUCCUGAACGUCAGGUAAAUAUUGACUGUCUCUCCUGAUAAAAACCAUGAGCUGCUGUCUCUGCAUCCUCAGGGUGACUUCUGGGGCCCAAAGGGAUAUCCCUCUGCCUCACCUCAACACACAUCCAUGAAGGGGUAGAUCAUGGAAAGGUUGAAUGGAAGAAGAUACAACACAUGUAUGAAUGGCUAGGAGGUAGGUCAUUUUCUUUGAAACUUGAAUGAGAAGUCUCUUUAAAAUGAAGCCAGAGCCACAAUAUUGCUCAACAAUUCCGUUCACCAACUCAUCAUAAUUAACUGCUGUAAUAACAUCUCGAUUUAUCCC
Rattus norvegicus (Norway rat) is the source of this 8086-nucleotide non-coding RNA. NCBI's taxonomy places the organism in Eukaryota, Metazoa, Chordata, Mammalia, Rodentia, Muridae. The record is from RefSeq and is a predicted model, not a curated record.